GCCAGCUUGGCGCAGUGGUAACGCGUCGCACUUGUACUCGAUCGAGUUAAUGCGAAGAUCCUCAGUUCAAUUCUGGGAGUUGGCA
Molecule: non-coding RNA, 85 nt
Organism: Saccharata proteae CBS 121410
Lineage: Eukaryota; Fungi; Ascomycota; Dothideomycetes; Botryosphaeriales; Saccharataceae
Source: the annotation of a GenBank genome assembly